This 497-nucleotide ribosomal RNA is filed under the name uncultured bacterium. RNAcentral describes it as "partial 16S ribosomal RNA". It matches the Rfam family "Bacterial small subunit ribosomal RNA", at positions 28 to 507 of the family's 1533-position model. The record is from RNAcentral.
GAUGAACGCUGGCGGCGUACCUAAUACAUGCAAGUCGAGCGAACAGACGAGGAGCUUGCUCCUCUGACGUUAGCGGCGGACGGGUGAGUAACACGUGGAUAACCUACCUAUAAGACUGGGAUCACUUCGGGAAACCGGAGCUAAUACCGGAUAAUAUAUUGAACCGCAUGGUUCAAUAGUGAAAGACGGUUUUGCUGUCACUUCUAGAUGGAUCCGCGCCGCAUUAGCUAGUUGGUAAGGUAACGGCUUACCAAGGCAACGAUGCGUAGCCGACCUGAGAGGGUGAUCGGCCACACUGGAACUGAGACACGGUCCAGACUCCUACGGGAGGCAGCAGUAGGGAAUCUUCCGCAAUGGGCGAAAGCCUGACGGAGCAACGCCGCGUGAGUGAUGAAGGUCUUCGGAUCGUAAAACUCUGUUAUUAGGGAAGAACAAAUGUGUAAGUAACUAUGCACGUCUUGACGGUAACUAAUCAGAAAGCCACGGCUAACUACGUG